UAUCGCAAGAUAUUUCGCUCUAGGAGGGGCCCGCGUCGGAUUAGCUGGUUGGUGGGGUAACGGCCUACCAAGGCGAUGAUCCGUAGCUGGUCUGAGAGGAUGAUCAGCCACACUGGGACUGAGACACGGCCCAGACUCCUACGGGAGGCAGCAGUGGGGAAUAUUGGACAAUGGGCGCAAGCCUGAUCCAGCAAUGCCGCGUGAGUGAUGAAGGCCUUCGGGUUGUAAAGCUCUUUCGCCCGCGACGAUGAUGACGGUAGCGGGAGAAGAAGCCCCGGCU
Molecule: ribosomal RNA, 280 nt
Filed under: uncultured soil bacterium
Lineage: Bacteria
Description: partial 16S ribosomal RNA
Rfam family: Bacterial small subunit ribosomal RNA
Source: RNAcentral